RNAcentral lists this ribosomal RNA (503 nucleotides) under uncultured Acidobacteriota bacterium. Its description in RNAcentral is "bacterial SSU rRNA". It matches the Rfam family "Bacterial small subunit ribosomal RNA", at positions 358 to 880 of the family's 1533-position model. The record is from RNAcentral. Lineage: Bacteria; Pseudomonadati; Acidobacteriota.
UGUGACUGCACAAUGGGGGAAACCCUGAUGCAGCGACGCCGCGUGAGCGAUGAAGCCCUUCGGGGUGUAAAGCUCUUUCGGCAGGGAAGAUCAUGACGGUACCUGCAUAAGCAGCUGCGGCUAACUACGUGCCAGCAGCCGCGGUAAUACGUAGGCAGCGAGCGUUGUUCGGAGUUACUGGGCGUAAAGGGUGUGUAGGCGGCUUUCUAAGUUUGGUGUGAAAUCUCCSGGCUCAACUGGGAGGGUGCGCSSAAUACUGAAAGGCUAGAGUGCGGGAGAGGAWAGUGGAAUUCCUGGUGUAGCGGUGAAAUGCGUAGAUAUCAGGAGGAACACCGGUGGUGUAGACGGCUCUCUGGACCGUAACUGACGCUGAGACACGAAAGCGUGGGUAGCAAACAGGAUUAGAUACCCUGGUAGUCCACGCCCUAAACGAUGCAUAYUUGGUGUGGGUCAUUCAGUUGAUCCGUGCCGGAGCUAACGCGUUAAAUAUGCCGCCUGGGGAU